AAAGUUAAUGUUAUCUUGUGCAUAUUUUCUUAUCUACGCAUUUGUCAUUUAAAAUGAUGGUAAACAGUUUGUUUGGGUGACGCUGCGCUGAUAUUAGCC
This is a non-coding RNA of Bombyx mori (domestic silkworm), 99 nucleotides long. NCBI's taxonomy places the organism in Eukaryota, Metazoa, Arthropoda, Insecta, Lepidoptera, Bombycidae. The record is from RefSeq and is marked provisional.